Molecule: ribosomal RNA, 468 nt
Filed under: uncultured bacterium
Lineage: Bacteria
Description: partial 16S ribosomal RNA
Rfam family: Bacterial small subunit ribosomal RNA
Source: RNAcentral
GACGAACGCUGGCGGCGUGCUUAACACAUGCAAGUCGAACGGGAAGGCCCUGCUUUUGUGGGGUGCUCGAGUGGCGAACGGGUGAGUAACCCGUGAGUAACCUGCCCUUGCCUUUGGGAUAACUUAAGGAAACUGGGGCUAAUACCGGAUAGGAGCUCCUGCUGCAUGGUGGGGGUUGGAAAGUUUCGGCGGUUGGGGAUGGACUCGCGGCUUAUCAGCUUGUUGGUGGGGUAGUGGCUUACCAAGGCUUUGACGGGUAGCCGGCCUGAGAGGGUGACCGGCCACAUUGGGACUGAGAUACGACCCAGACUCCUACGGGAGGCAGCAGUGGGGAAUAGUGCACAAUGGGCGGAAGCCUGAUGCAGCAACGCCGCGUGCGGGAUGACGGCCUUCGGGUUGUAAACCGAUGUCGCCUGUGACGAAGCGUGAGUGACGGUAAUGGGUAAAGAAGCACCGGCUAACUACGUG